UUCUAGGAUACUGGGGCCCCCUCUC
This 25-nucleotide non-coding RNA is filed under the name Mus musculus (house mouse). The record is from RNAcentral. Lineage: Eukaryota; Metazoa; Chordata; Mammalia; Rodentia; Muridae.